UCUACGGGUGGCAGCAGUGGGGAAUAUUGCGCAAUGGGCGAAAGCCUGACGCAGCGACGCCGCGUGAGGGAUGAAGGUCUUCGGAUCGUAAACCUCUGUCAGCAGGGAAGAACGGUCACUGUGCUAAUCAGCAGUGAAUUGCCGGUACCUGCAAAGGAAGCACCGGCUAACUCCGUGCCAGCAGCCGAGGUAAUCCGGAGGGUGCGAGCGUUAAUCGGAAUUACGGGGCUUAAAGCGCUCGUAGGAGGUAUGUCAAGUCCAGGGUGAAAUGCCCGCGCCCAACGUGGGAACUGCCUUUGAAACGGGCAAACUGGAGUGUGUGAGAGGAUAGUGGAAUUCCAGGUGGAGGAG
RNAcentral lists this ribosomal RNA (351 nucleotides) under uncultured bacterium. RNAcentral's name for it is "partial 16S ribosomal RNA". It matches the Rfam family "Bacterial small subunit ribosomal RNA", at positions 338 to 681 of the family's 1533-position model. The record is from RNAcentral.